UCAGUAACACGGUAGUCAACAUGCCCAGGGGACGUGGAUAACCUCGGGAAACUGAGGAUAAACCGCGAUAGGUCAUAAUAUCUGGAAUGAUUUAUGGCCAAAAUCUACAUGGCCCCUGGAUUGGACUGCGGCCGAUCAGGCUGUUGGUGAGGUAAUGGCCCACCAAACCUAAAACCGNGUACGGGGCUCUGAGAGGAGAAGCCCGGAGAUGGGCACUGAGACAAGGGCCCAGGCCCUAUGGGGCGCAGCAGGCGCGAAAACUCUGCAAUAAGCGAAAGCUUGACAGGGUUAUUCUGAGUGAUUUCCGCUAAGGAAAUCUUUUGGCACCUCUAAAAAUGGUGCAGAAUAAGGGGUGGGCAAGCCUGGUGCCAGCC
RNAcentral lists this ribosomal RNA (374 nucleotides) under unidentified archaeon. RNAcentral describes it as "bacterial SSU rRNA". It matches the Rfam family "Archaeal small subunit ribosomal RNA", at positions 90 to 463 of the family's 1478-position model. The record is from RNAcentral.